AUACGUAGGGUGCAAGCGUUAAUCGGAAUUACUGGGCGUAAAGCGUGCGCAGGCGGUUUUGUAAGACAGUGGUGAAAUCCCCGGGCUCAACCUGGGAACUGCCAUUGUGACUGCAAGGCUGGAGUGCGGCAGAGGGGGAUGGAAUUCCGCGGGUAGCAGUGAAAUGCGUAGAUAUGCGGAGGAACACCGAUGGCGAAGGCAAUCCCCUGGGCCUGCACUGACGCUCAUGCACGAAAGCGUGGGGAGCAAGCAGGAUUAGAUACCCUGGUAGUCCACGCCCUAAACGAUGUCAACUGGUUGUUGGGGAUUUAUUUUCUCAGUAACGAAGCUAACGCGUGAAGUUGACCGCCUGGGGAGUACGGCCGCAAGGUUAAAACUCAAAGGAAUUGACGGGG
RNAcentral lists this ribosomal RNA (395 nucleotides) under uncultured bacterium. RNAcentral describes it as "partial 16S ribosomal RNA". It matches the Rfam family "Bacterial small subunit ribosomal RNA", at positions 523 to 918 of the family's 1533-position model. The record is from RNAcentral.